AUGACGGUAUCUGAUGAAUAAGCUCCGGCUAACUCUGUGCCAGCAGCCGCGGUAAUACAGAGGGAGCAAGCGUUAUCCGGAAUGAUUGGGCGUAAAGCGUUUGUAGGUGGCCUANAAAGUCUACUGUCAAAUAUCAAGGCUUAACCUUGAGCAGGCAGUGGAGUACUCCUAGGCUUGAGUGUGGUANAGGUAGAGGGAAUUCCAUGUGGAGCGGUGAAAUGCGUANAGAUAUGGAGGAACACCAGCGGCNAAGGCGCUCUACUGGGCCAAGACUGACACUGANAAACGAAAGCUAGGGGAGCGAAAAGGAUUANAUACCCUUGUAGUCCUAGCUGUAAACUAUGAANACUAAGUGCUGCCNAAAGCAGUGCUGUAGCUAACGCGUUAAGUCUUCCGCCUGGGGAGUAUGCUCGCAAGAGUGAAACUCAAANGANUUGACG
RNAcentral lists this ribosomal RNA (440 nucleotides) under uncultured bacterium. RNAcentral's name for it is "partial 16S ribosomal RNA". It matches the Rfam family "Bacterial small subunit ribosomal RNA", at positions 469 to 915 of the family's 1533-position model. The record is from RNAcentral.